UGGGGAAUUUUGGACAAUGGGCGCAAGCCUGAUCCAGCCAUGCCGCGUGCGGGAAGAAGGCCUUCGGGUUGUAAACCGCUUUUGUCAGGGAAGAAAUCUUCUGAGUUAAUACCUCGGGAGGAUGACGGUACCUGAAGAAUAAGCACCGGCUAACUACGUGCCAGCAGCCGCGGUAAUACGUAGGGUGCAAGCGUUAAUCGGAAUUACUGGGCGUAAAGCGUGCGCAGGCGGUUUUGUAAGACAGAGGUGAAAUCCCCGGGCUCAACCUGGGAACUGCCUUUGUGACUGCAAGGCUUGAGUGCGGCAGAGGGGGGAUGGAAUUCCGCGUGUAGCAGUGAGAUGCGUAGAUAUGCGGAGGAACACCGAUGGCGAAGGCAAUCCCCUGGGCCUGCACUGACGCUCAUGCACGAAAGCGUGGGGAGCAAACAGGAUUAGAUACCCUGGUAGUCCACGCCCUAAACGAUGUCAACUGGUUGUUGGGAAGGUUCCUUCUCAGUAACGUAGCUAACGCGUGAAGUUGACCGCCUGGGGAGUACGGCCGCAAGGUUGAAACUCAAAUGAAUUGACGGGGUCAUAGCUGUUUCCUG
This 587-nucleotide ribosomal RNA is filed under the name uncultured bacterium. RNAcentral describes it as "partial 16S ribosomal RNA". It matches the Rfam family "Bacterial small subunit ribosomal RNA", at positions 355 to 1376 of the family's 1533-position model. The record is from RNAcentral.